Molecule: ribosomal RNA, 340 nt
Filed under: uncultured Latescibacterota bacterium
Lineage: Bacteria; Pseudomonadati; Candidatus Latescibacterota
Description: bacterial SSU rRNA
Rfam family: Bacterial small subunit ribosomal RNA
Source: RNAcentral
AACGAACGCUGGCGGCGUGGAUUAGGCAUGCAAGUCGAACGAGAAAGAUUCUUUCGGGAAUCGAGUAAAGUGGCAAACGGGUGAGUAGCGCGUGGGAAACCUGCCUUUUAGUUGGGGAUAACACUUCUAACGAAGUGCUAAUACCGAAUACGAUCUUUUCACCGCAUGGUGGAUUGAUGAAAGAUGGCCUCUGUUUUAAGCUGUCACUAAAAGAUGGUCCCGCGUCCCAUUAGCUUGUUGGUGAGGUAACGGCUCACCAAGGCGAUGAUGGGUGGCCGGCCUUAGCGGGCGAUCGGCCACACUGGGACUGAGAUACGGCCCAGACUCCUACGGGAGGCUG